GAGACACUUCAUGGGCAGUACGGA
Molecule: non-coding RNA, 24 nt
Filed under: Arabidopsis thaliana (thale cress)
Lineage: Eukaryota; Viridiplantae; Streptophyta; Magnoliopsida; Brassicales; Brassicaceae
Source: RNAcentral